AUACUUACCUGGCGGGGAGAAACCGUGAUCAGAAAUGUGGUUCUCCCAGGACGAGGCUAUCCCAUUGCACUUCGGUGCCCUGACAUCUGCGAUGUCCUCAAAUGCAGGAUACUCAACUGCAAAAUUUGUGGCAGUGGGGGACUGCGUUUGUGCUCUAAUUUG
Small nuclear RNA from Hypanus sabinus (Atlantic stingray), 162 nucleotides. RefSeq annotates it as U1 spliceosomal RNA. The transcript has a single exon. The record is from RefSeq and is a predicted model, not a curated record. NCBI's taxonomy places the organism in Eukaryota, Metazoa, Chordata, Chondrichthyes, Myliobatiformes, Dasyatidae.